CUAACCCAAGGCCUGUCUUGGCCUCCCAGAGUGCUGGAUUACAGGUACCUAUGGCCUACUCCCACUUUCUUACUAUCAAAGCCAGCAAUCUCAGCUGAGAGCCUUAUUGGGGACAUGCUCUCCAGAACUGACAGCUCCCAAACAAAAGGAAACUGCAAAAAGAAGACCGAAGUUCUCAAGAUAGGGAAUCCUAGAAAGAUAAGUGCUUCCAGCCCUCACCUUACUCUGCCUCACCUGUGUCUUGCUUUGAAUUGCUUUGGGCAUAAAAUUGACUUAUCAAAGGAGCAGACAGGGACCACUGCAUCAAACAAGAAUCACUUGGGAAGUCCCCCCAACAUUUUGUUAUGAAAAGUUUCAGACCUAUAGCAAAGUUGAAAGAAUUUUAUCCACCCCCAUUUUCUUUUUCAUGCUUUAUCACUUAUCUAUCAAUUUGCCCCUCCUUCUUUUUUGAUACAUUUCAAAGUAAAUGGCACUCAUCAGUGCACUUUGGUAGGGGAUUUUUUUAAAUUGCUCAUAUCAGCAAUCCAUAUUCAGGUCCCUGAAUCACUAGCCAGGGGAUCUGCAUUUUAAAUAAUUAUUAACCCCACUUUGCAAGUGAGAAAACAGGACAGAGAGGUGAUAGGACCUGCACUACAAAAGCUGCCUAGGAGUUGAACUCCUCUCAGUCUCUUGGUCCAGAACUGCCUGGGUAGGAGGAGUUCAGGGCACCUCAGCUUAGUGACUAUGUCUUGGAAUUCCCCCUGCUCUCUUGCUUAGAGUAUGGGACUUUGGCCAGACUCAGGCUUAGAGCCUGUGUUCCGUCUUCCUGGUCUAAAUGUUCCUUGAGGAGAGGGGCUGUGUGUAAGACUUUGCUUGUAGCCCUUGCACCAAGAAUUGUUGAACCUCUUGAAAUCUGUAACGUGGAGAUAACAAUGAUUUUCAACUCAUGGGUUUAAUGAGGUCAUUCAUAGAAAUGUACAAGUGCUAAAAAGAAGUAGCUUUGUUAUGAUAUUCAUUAAUAAGUAUAGCCUUUGUAAAUCUCAGUCUAUAAACUCAGGCAAGCAUGAAAAUGUAACUGCAUUUUUUCCCUAUAACCAAACUCAGUUUUAUAUUGAGCACCUGUUUUACCUUAGAACCCUCAAAAAACACCCUGAGAUGAAGAUUCAUGUACAAGUGACUUAUAAGGAAGUGGCCCCAGGAAAAUCUGAUCAAGGAAUAGGUGACUGAGAGCUCAAGGGAUGGAGGCAAGCAAGGUCUCAUGGAGGAUAAGCUUUGCUCAGCCCUGCAGGGAGCUGGAGACAGUGAUGGUUACCCUCAGAGUCUUUCAGAUCAGGGGGCAUGGAAGCUGGAAUAUUUGUAUAUCCCUCCCACAUACUAUCAGGCAUUAGUUAAGGGUUGUCCUGGGGGAGUGAAUACCUGGGCACUCUAGGUUCUCUAGGCAAUUAAGCCUAAGGGGUUCUAGUAGCUUGAGGGUGGUCCUCCCACCACGAGAUUUAAGUGCUGGCCACGCAGAGUCAAAGCACAUAGGAAGACUGGGUGGAUGAAAAUGAUAAGGUGUCUGAGGGAUGUACGUGGAACACUAGUAACAUCUGCUGCAGAGCCCAUUCUGCUACAGCAGAAAUCUAGUCCACUUGGGUUCCCUGGAGAGCAUACCUUGUACCAAAGCAUGGCAGUGAGAUGCAGAUCGAGUCCUUCCUUUCUAGUCUGUUUGUUCUGGCAACAGCUGCAACAUCUUUGACCUGCCUGGCCUUUGUAUGUCUACCCAUCUAGGUCAUUGCUGAAUGAGUCUGCAUUUCUGACCCAAAUGACCUCUCAGCCCCCAGCCUGGCCUGUAAGAGCCCUUCUACUGCUAUCACACCAUUCUGAGAUUUAGGAAACCCCAUUCACAGGACCCACCUGGACACCUGGAUUAUUCUUCUGCUCCCACACCAUGCUAC
This 1916-nucleotide long non-coding RNA is filed under the name Homo sapiens (human). RNAcentral's name for it is "HSALNT0194545". The record is from RNAcentral. Lineage: Eukaryota; Metazoa; Chordata; Mammalia; Primates; Hominidae.